GACGGGGGCCCGCACAAGCAGCGGAGCAUGUGGUUUAAUUCGAAGCAACGCGAAGAACCUUACCAGGUCUUGACAUCCAUCUAAAGCAGAAGAGAUUCUGUGUGAGCUUGCUCGAGAUGAGACAGGUGGUGCAUGGUUGUCGUCAGCUCGUGUCGUGAGAUGUUGGGUUAAGUCCCGCAACGAGCGCAACCCUUAUCGUCCGUUACUAACAGGCAAAGCUGAGGACUCAGACGAGACCGCCGGGGACAACUCGGAGGAAGGUGGGGACGACGUCAAAUCAUCAUGCCCCUUACGACCUGGGCUACACACGUGCUACAAUGGGUACAACAAAGAGAGGCGAAGCCGCAAGGCGGAGCAAAACUCAGAAAAGUAUUCUCAGUUCGGAUUGUGGGCUGCAACCCGCCCACAUGAAGUUGGAGUUGCUAGUAAUCGCGGAUCAGCAUGCCGCGGUGAAUACGUUCCCGGGCCUUGUACACACCGCCCGUCACACCAUGGGAGUUGAGAGCGCCCGAAGCCAGUGAGCUAACCGCAAGGAGGCAGCUGUCGAAGGUGAGAUCAAUGACUGGGGUGAAGUCGUAACAAGGUAGCCGUUCGGAA
RNAcentral lists this ribosomal RNA (597 nucleotides) under uncultured bacterium. RNAcentral's name for it is "bacterial SSU rRNA". It matches the Rfam family "Bacterial small subunit ribosomal RNA", at positions 912 to 1509 of the family's 1533-position model. The record is from RNAcentral.